RNAcentral lists this ribosomal RNA (479 nucleotides) under uncultured bacterium. RNAcentral's name for it is "bacterial SSU rRNA". It matches the Rfam family "Bacterial small subunit ribosomal RNA", at positions 37 to 507 of the family's 1533-position model. The record is from RNAcentral.
UGGCGGCAGGCCUAACACAUGCAAGUCGAGCGGUAACAUUUCUAGCUUGCUAGAAGAUGACGAGCGGCGGACGGGUGAGUAACGCGUAGAAAUCUACCUAGUAGUGGGGGACAGCCCAGAGAAAUUUGGAUUAAUACCGCAUACGCCCUACGGGGGAAAGCGGGGGAUCUUCGGACCUCGUGCUAUUAGAUGAGUCUGCGUCGGAUUAGCUUGUUGGUGAGGUAAUGGCUCACCAAGGCGACGAUCCGUAGCUGGUCUGAGAGGAUGACCAGCCACACUGGAACUGAGACACGGUCCAGACUCCUACGGGAGGCAGCAGUGGGGAAUAUUGCACAAUGGGCGCAAGCCUGAUGCAGCCAUGCCGCGUGUGUGAAGAAGGCCUUAGGGUUGUAAAGCACUUUCAGCAGUGAGGAAAGGGGUGUCGUUAAUAGCGCCAUCCUGUGACGUUAACUGCAGAAGAAGGACCGGCUAACUCCGUG